CUGGUGUCGGAUACCCUGCAAAAUCCGCCGCUGGAGACAGUGUGUCGGUUCGAGUCCGACCGCCGGCACCA
This 71-nucleotide transfer RNA is filed under the name Modicisalibacter sp. MOD 31.J. Its description in RNAcentral is "tRNA-Ser". The record is from RNAcentral. RNAcentral also lists the same sequence under 1 other name. Lineage: Bacteria; Pseudomonadati; Pseudomonadota; Gammaproteobacteria; Oceanospirillales; Halomonadaceae.